AUGAACACCUUGAUGUGAACUGCGCAAUUUAGACACAUUCAAGAGGAAACCAAAACUAAGGGAUUCUAGGGUAGCUCUACGCCACCUUCAAGAGCGUCCAGCAGGAGAAUGGGGAGGCCUGGACAGUCCCCACCUGGCACCCUCUGGACAGAGCUUUGAAGGAAAGGCUUGAAAGCUACAAGGGUAUGAAAUGGGUUCAUCAAGGGCCAGUCCUGCGGAGGGUCAGUGGCCCUGGACCAUCCCUGAGGUGCAGUCCAUGGGGACCGGGGCGUGCACACAGGAGCAGAGGAGAUAGGCGCAGUAUGUAGUCCUCAGUUUUUUGCCAUGCAUUUGCAUAUAAUGUCAGACGAUGCCACAUGAACACAGAAUUCUGAUGGACCAAGGAUGUGUGGGAGUUCAGUGAGACUCAAUGCCAUUACAAGUUUCACUUAACUCACAGGGUGCCAAGUGCAGGGGCCUGCACCCAGCACUUCAGACCAGAGUUCCUAAUGCAAAACAGCUGCGCCUAACACUUAAACUUGGUGUACCCUGUGCAGAAACGCUGUGCGCAACACUUGAAGAUGGCAGAGAUGCUGCACCUAGCAUUUGGAUCUGGAGCCAUGAGCAGCAGCACAAGAACUCCAUCCUCCUCUCCCCACUAUAAGAAUGCUAUAAAGCAGCCCUGCCAAUGGCCGUUUGGAAAAAACAUGUACUCUUGAGCUCAAGCUUGCACUUCUCCAUUUGAUCAUCAAAGAAUAAAACUUUGCUUUGCUUCUGAAUGGAACUUGGACUCAUUUUAUUAGCUGGAAUGACUCCAGGCAGGAGGACCCUGGGACCUGACCCAAAAGGAUCAACUUUUGGCAACCCAGAUGGCGUUUUCAUCUGUACCGAUCCACUCAGCUCUGGGCUCGUUGGCGCUCAGGGCUCCAGUCCGUGGAUGGUGUAGGCUUUGAAGGUUCGCCUGGGAAUGACUGCCUCUGGUCUUUGAGUACA
Molecule: long non-coding RNA, 972 nt
Organism: Odocoileus virginianus texanus
Lineage: Eukaryota; Metazoa; Chordata; Mammalia; Artiodactyla; Cervidae
Source: RefSeq, a predicted model, not a curated record